RNAcentral lists this ribosomal RNA (468 nucleotides) under uncultured bacterium. RNAcentral's name for it is "partial 16S ribosomal RNA". It matches the Rfam family "Bacterial small subunit ribosomal RNA", at positions 28 to 507 of the family's 1533-position model. The record is from RNAcentral.
GACGAACGCUGGCGGCGUGCUUAACACAUGCAAGUCGAACGGAAAGGCCCUGCUUUUGUGGGGUGCUCGAGUGGCGAACGGGUGAGUAACACGUGAGUAACCUGCCCUUGACUUUGGGAUAACUUCAGGAAACUGGGGCUAAUACCGGAUAGGAGCUCCUGCUGCAUGGUGGGGGUUGGAAAGUUUCGGCGGUGGGGGAUGGACUCGCGGCUUAUCAGCUUGUUGGUGGGGUAGUGGCUUACCAAGGCUUUGACGGGUAGCCCGCAUGAGAGGGUGACCGGCGACAAUGGGACUGAGGUACGGACCAGACUCGUACGGGAGGCAGUAGGGGGGAGUCUUGCGCAAUGGGCGGAAGCCUGAUGUAGAGACGCCGCGUGCGGGAUGCCGGGCUUCGGGUUGUAAACAGCUUUCGACUGAAACGAAGCGGGAGUGACGGUAAUGGGUAAAGAAGCACCGGCUAACUACGUG